AUACGUAGGGGGCGAGCGUUGUCCGGAAUGAUUGGGCGUAAAGGGCGCGUAGGCGGCCCGGUAAGUCUGGAGUGAAAGUCCUGUUUUUAAGAUGGGAAUUGCUUUGGAUACUGUCGGGCUUGAGUGCAGGAGAGGUAAGUGGAAUUCCCAGUGUAGCGGGGAAAUGCGUAGAGAUUGGGAGGAACACCAGUGGCGAAGGCGACUUACUGGACUGUAACUGACGCUGAGGCGCGAAAGUGUGGGGAGCAAACAGGAUUAGAUACCCUGGUAGUCCACACCGUAAACGAUGAAUGCUAGGUGUAGGGGGUAUCGACCCCUUCUGUGCCGCAGUCAACACAAUAAGCAUUCCGCCUGGGGAGUACGGCCGCAAGGUUGAAACUCAAAUGAAUUGACGGGG
This 397-nucleotide ribosomal RNA is filed under the name uncultured bacterium. Its description in RNAcentral is "partial 16S ribosomal RNA". It matches the Rfam family "Bacterial small subunit ribosomal RNA", at positions 523 to 918 of the family's 1533-position model. The record is from RNAcentral.